AUGCAAGUCGAGGGGCAUCGGGAAGAAAGCUUGCUUUCUUUGCUGGCGACCGGCGCACGGGUGAGUAACACGUAUCCAACCUGCCCUUUACUCGGGGAUAGCCUUUCGAAAGAAAGAUUAAUACCCGAUAGCAUAAUGAUUCCGCAUGGUUUCAUUAUUAAAGGAUUCCGGUAAAGGAUGGGGAUGCGUUCCAUUAGGUUGUUGGUGAGGUAACGGCUCACCAAGCCUUCGAUGGAUAGGGGUUCUGAGAGGAAGGUCCCCACAUUGGAACUGAGACACGGUCCAAACUCC
RNAcentral lists this ribosomal RNA (291 nucleotides) under uncultured Bacteroides sp. RNAcentral's name for it is "partial 16S ribosomal RNA". It matches the Rfam family "Bacterial small subunit ribosomal RNA", at positions 55 to 339 of the family's 1533-position model. Lineage: Bacteria; Pseudomonadati; Bacteroidota; Bacteroidia; Bacteroidales; Bacteroidaceae. The record is from RNAcentral.